This 260-nucleotide long non-coding RNA is filed under the name Elaeis guineensis (African oil palm). Its description in RNAcentral is "long non-coding RNA (EGUI_LNC044116)". The record is from RNAcentral. Lineage: Eukaryota; Viridiplantae; Streptophyta; Magnoliopsida; Arecales; Arecaceae.
CCUGUCACUAUCUACAUAAAGGAAGAUGAAGGAUUCAAGGAGACGCAUCCACCAUCAGACGCAGCGAAAAGUUCAACUUGGUUUAGUUGUCUUGUAUCAAAUUUUUAUUUCUUUUUCAUUAUAUAUACUUCUUUAUUUGAUCAAUGAAAAAUAUUUUUAUUGUAAUCUCCAUGUUUCAUUCUCAGUUUCUUACAAUUUAUUAUUUAUUAUUUAUAUUUUUUAAAUAAUCAACUUAAAAUUUCUAUGGAUACAAUCCGACU